Molecule: ribosomal RNA, 300 nt
Filed under: uncultured Glomus
Lineage: Eukaryota; Fungi; Glomeromycota; Glomeromycetes; Glomerales; Glomeraceae
Description: partial 18S ribosomal RNA
Source: RNAcentral
CGUAAGGCGCCGAAAUGAGUCAUUAAAAAUUAACAUCAUCCGAUCCCUAGUCGGCAUAGUUUAUGGUUAAGACUACGACGGUAUCUGAUCGUCUUCGAUCCCCUAACUUUCGUUCUUGAUUAAUGAAAACAUCCUUGGCAAAUGCUUUCGCAGUAGUUAGUCUUCAAUAAAUCCAAGUAAUUUCACCUCUGACAAUUGAAUACUAAUGCCCCCAAUAUCCCUAUUAAUCAUUACGUCAAUCCUAAGAAACCAACAAAAUAGGAUCGAACGUCCUAUUCAUUAUUCCAUGCUAAUGUAUUC